CCUACGGGUGGCAGCAGUGGGGAAUAUUGGUCAAUGGACGAGACUCUGAACCAGCAACGUCGCGUGAAUGAUGAAUGUCCUCGGAUUGUAAAGCUUCUUUCAUAUGGAAGUAAAAAGUUCCGGUACCUUAGGAAUAAGUGUCCGCUAACAACGUGCCAGCAGCCGCGCUAAUACGUAGGAGGCGAGCGUUAUCCGGAUUGACUGGGUGUAAAGGGUGCGUAGGUGGUUUGACAAGUUGGUAGUGUAAUUCCGAGGCUUAACCACGGCACUACAACCAAAACUGGCGGACUUGAGUGCAGGAGGGGCGAGUGGAAUUCGUAGUGUAGCGGUGGAAUGCGCAGAUAUUAGGAGGAACACCGGUGGCGAAGGCGAAUUGCUGGACUGUAACUGACACUGAGGCACGAAAGCGUGGGGAGCAAACAGGAUUAGAUACCCUAGUAGUC
RNAcentral lists this ribosomal RNA (443 nucleotides) under uncultured bacterium. RNAcentral's name for it is "partial 16S ribosomal RNA". It matches the Rfam family "Bacterial small subunit ribosomal RNA", at positions 338 to 795 of the family's 1533-position model. The record is from RNAcentral.